This 807-nucleotide ribosomal RNA is filed under the name bacterium UA7009. RNAcentral describes it as "bacterial SSU rRNA". It matches the Rfam family "Bacterial small subunit ribosomal RNA", at positions 550 to 1358 of the family's 1533-position model. The record is from RNAcentral.
AUUAUUGGGCGUAAGGGCUCGCAGGCGGUUUCUUAAGUCUGAUGUGAAAGCCCCCGGCUCAACCGGGGAGGGUCAUUGGAAACUGGGAAACUUGAGUGCAGAAGAGGAGAGUGGAAUUCCACGUGUAGCGGUGAAAUGCGUAGAGAUGUGGAGGAACACCAGUGGCGAAGGCGACUCUCUGGUCUGUAACUGACGCUGAGGAGCGAAAGCGUGGGGAGCGAACAGGAUUAGAUACCCUGGUAGUCCACGCCGUAAACGAUGAGUGCUAAGUGUUAGGGGGUUUCCGCCCCUUAUUGCUGCAGCUAACGCAUUAAGCACUCCGCCUGGGGAGUACGGUCGCAAGACUGAAACUCAAAGGAAUUGACGGGGGCCCGCACAAGCGGUGGAGCAUGUGGUUUAAUUCGAAGCAACGCGAAAAACCUUACCAGGUCUUGACAUCCUCUGACAACCCUAGAGAUAGGGCUUUCCCUUCGGGGACAGAGUGACAGGUGGUGCAUGGUUGUCGUCAGCUCGUGUCGUGAGAUGUUGGGUUAAGUCCCGCAACGAGCGCAACCCUUGAUCUUAGUUGCCAGCAUUCAGUUGGGCACUCUAAGGUGACUGCCGGUGACAAACCGGAGGAAGGUGGGGAUGACGUCAAAUCAUCAUGCCCCUUAUGACCUGGGCUACACACGUGCUACAAUGGACAGAACAAAGGGCUGCAAGACCGCAAGGUUUAGCCAAUCCCAUAAAUCUGUUCUCAGUUCGGAUCGCAGUCUGCAACUCGACUGCGUGAAGCUGGAAUCGCUAGUAAUCGCGGAUCAGCAUGCC